Molecule: ribosomal RNA, 484 nt
Filed under: uncultured bacterium
Lineage: Bacteria
Description: partial 16S ribosomal RNA
Rfam family: Bacterial small subunit ribosomal RNA
Source: RNAcentral
AUUGAACGCUGGCGGCAGGCCUAACACAUGCAAGUCGAGCGGAUGAAGGGAGCUUGCUCCUGGAUUCAGCGGCGGACGGGCGAGUAAUGCCUAGGAAUCUGCCUGGUAGUGGGGGAUAACGUCCGGACACGGGCGCUAAUACCGCAUACGUCCUGAGGGAGAAAGUGGGGGAUCUUCGGACCUCACGCUAUCAGAUGAGCCUAGGUCGGAUUAGCUAGUUGGUGGGGUAAAGGCCUACCAAGGCGACGAUCCGUAACUGGUCUGAGAGGAUGAUCAGUCACACUGGAACUGAGACACGGUCCAGACUCCUACGGGAGGCAGCAGUGGGGAAUAUUGGACAAUGGGCGAAAGCCUGAUCCAGCCAUGCCGCGUGUGUGAAGAGGGUCUUCGGAUUGUAAAGCACUUUAAGUUGGGAGGAAGGGCAGUAAGUUAAUACCUUGCUGUUUUGACGUUACCAACAGAAUAAGCACCGGCUAACUUCGUG